UACGAAGGGGGCUAGCGUUGUCCGGAUUCAUUGGGCGUAAAGAGCGCGCAGGCGGCUUGGUAAGUCGGAUGUGAAAUCCCGAGGCUCAACCUCGGGUCUGCAUCCGAUACUGCCCGGCUAGAGGUAGGUAGGGGAGAUCGGAAUUCCUGGUGUAGCGGUGAAAUGCGCAGAUAUCAGGAGGAACACCGGUGGCGAAGGCGGAUCUCUGGGCCUUACCUGACGCUCAGGCGCGAAAGCUAGGGGAGCGAACUGG
RNAcentral lists this ribosomal RNA (253 nucleotides) under uncultured bacterium. RNAcentral describes it as "partial 16S ribosomal RNA". It matches the Rfam family "Bacterial small subunit ribosomal RNA", at positions 524 to 776 of the family's 1533-position model. The record is from RNAcentral.